CACAAUACUUUUUUGACUUAUUACUAGGAAGAAACAAUUUUCUUUAGAUUAGCUUUCAAGCUUACUUUGGUUGGUUACAACGUUUCUCACAACUGUUUUCAUCAUUUCAGAUGUGAGCGUGCCCCAUGGAAUCACUACCUGCUGCAGCAAAUAAGCUACUGCCCUAAUUUGUUCUGAUUGGAUCAGUGACAGAUCUGUGCCUAAUUUGUUGAAAAGCCUCAUACUUUUACCAUUGCAGUUUUAAUGGAGAUACCAAGUACCUAGUGGAAAGUAGGAGCCUAACAAUUGAGAGAAUUCAAUCUGGGGAGGAUUUUUGAAGAGCUGGGACCAGGUUCUCAUCUACAAUGAAACUGUGCAUUGGGCACUUGAAAGUAAAGUCUGUGAGAAAGUUAUUAUUUAGUCAAGCCAGCAUUAUUUGUGCACAAACCUGCAUUAUUUGUGAAGUUCCUCUUAAGAUCACAGAGCAGCUGCAAACAACACAAACAUGAGAUUCAUUCUGUGAGAAGAAUGUAGCAUAAAGAUAAGUACAAUUUUUUUUUUAUUUGUCUUUUUUUGCAACUUUGGUGGGGCUAUCUUAUUCAAACCCUCCUUAUCUGUGAGCUUUACUCACACCAGCUGCCUGUUUUUUGCUUUUGAGGAGGUGUUGCAAUGACAGAAUCUGAAGUUUAUUCCUUAGCUUAGAUAUAUAUGGAUACAGUUUUGUGUGUACUUCUUUGAAAAAUGAAACUUAAUUUAAGUAACCCAUAUCUUCAGUUGUGAGGUUUUGCAUUUCUCCUGAACAGUUUUAUUGUCAGAAACAAUAUCUACGUGAGUAAUGUAACUAAGCAGACUUUUUUUUUUCUUCCAUUGGGAAAAUUGUACUGUGUUAACAUGAUGUGUCACUGAUUUCUCCUAGGGAUAUAACCCCACUCCAACAAUGCAUUGUCUAGGCUUAGACUUUCAAAUAUUACUGGUUUUCGGAAUUUAAAUGGAAUAGAUACUUCUACCUAGGAGCCGUCACUGCUCUAUGAAAUAUUUUUAUAUGUUCAUAGAGUGGAUUAGGUCCAUGCUACAGACUGAGGUAAGUGGGAGGGCAGAGUAGACAUCACUGAACCUUCUGCUUUUACAUUAGCUGCUAGAUAAAAAGGCAACAAAGCCAGAAAUAUGAAGCUAAUGAAGUGAGUUACUAACUUUUUGCUGAACUCAGAGCUGUUGAAACUCACUGCAAGACUGGUAGC
RNAcentral lists this long non-coding RNA (1217 nucleotides) under Calidris pugnax (ruff). RNAcentral's name for it is "lncRNA (ENSCPUG00000019148.1)". The record is from RNAcentral. Lineage: Eukaryota; Metazoa; Chordata; Aves; Charadriiformes; Scolopacidae.